ACCCGCUGAACUUAAGCAUAUCAAUAAGCGGAGGAAAAGAAACCAACAGGGAUUGCCUCAGUAACGGCGAGUGAAGCGGCAAGAGCUCAAAUUUGAAAUCUGGCCCCUUCGGGGUCCGAGUUGUAAUUUGUAGAGGAUGCUUCGGGUGCGGCCCCCGUCUAAGUGCUCUGGAACGGGCCAUCGGAGAGGGUGAGAAUCCCGUCUGGGACGGGGUGUCCGCGUCCAUGUGAAGCUCCUUCGACGAGUCGAGUUGUUUGGGAAUGCAGCUCUAAAUGGGUGGUAAAUUUCAUCUAAAGCUAAAUACUGGCCGGAGACCGAUAGCGCACAAGUAGAGUGAUCGAAAGAUGAAAAGCACUUUGAAAAGAGAGUUAAACAGCACGUGAAAUUGUUGAAAGGGAAGCGCUUGCGACCAGACUCGCUUCCGGGGUUCAGCCGGCUUUCGGGCCGGUGUACUUCCCCGGGGGCGGGCCAGCGUCGGUUUGGGCGGCCGGUCAAAGGCCCCUGGAAUGUAACGCCCCUCGGGGCGCCUUAUAGCCAGGGGUGUCAUGCGGCCAGCCUGGACCGAGGAACGCGCUUCGGCACGGACGCUGGCAUAAUGGUCGUAAACGACCCGUCUUGAAACACGGACC
RNAcentral lists this ribosomal RNA (629 nucleotides) under Aspergillus sp. RNAcentral's name for it is "eukaryotic LSU rRNA". It matches the Rfam family "Eukaryotic large subunit ribosomal RNA", at positions 23 to 667 of the family's 3401-position model. Lineage: Eukaryota; Fungi; Ascomycota; Eurotiomycetes; Eurotiales; Aspergillaceae. The record is from RNAcentral.